RNAcentral lists this ribosomal RNA (253 nucleotides) under uncultured bacterium. Its description in RNAcentral is "partial 16S ribosomal RNA". It matches the Rfam family "Bacterial small subunit ribosomal RNA", at positions 524 to 776 of the family's 1533-position model. The record is from RNAcentral.
CACGUAGGGCGCGAGCGUUGUCCGGAAUUAUUGGGCGUAAAGAGCUCGUAGGCGGCCUGUUGCGUCCGCUGUGAAAUCCCUCGGCUUAACCGGGGAACUGCGUCCGAUACUGGUUGGCUUGAGUUUGGGAGAGGGAUGCGGAAUUCCAGGUGUAGCGGUGAAAUGCGUAGAUAUCUGGAGGAACACCGGUGGCGAAGGCGGCAUCCUGGACCAAUACUGACGCUGAGGAGCGAAAGCCAGGGGAGCAAACGGG